GGAAGACGCAGCGAAAUGCGAUAAGUAAUGUGAAUUGCAGAAUUCAGUGAAUCAUCGAAUCUUUGAACGCACAUUGCGCCCCCUGGUAUUCCGGGGGGCAUGCCUGUUCGAGCGUCAUUUCACCACUCAAGCCUCGCUUGGUAUUGGGCAACGCGGUCCGCCGCGUGCCUCAAAUCGUCCGGCUGGGUCUUCUGUCCCCUAAGCGUUGUGGAAACUAUUCGCUAAAGGGUGUUCGGGAGGCUACGCCGUAAAACAACCCCAUUUCUAAGGUUGACCUCGGAUCAGGUAGGGAUACCCGCUGAACUUAAGCAUAUCAAUAAGCGGAGGA
Molecule: unclassified non-coding RNA, 328 nt
Filed under: soil metagenome
Description: partial contains 5.8S ribosomal RNA, internal transcribed spacer 2, and large subunit ribosomal RNA
Rfam family: 5.8S ribosomal RNA (bases 3-117)
Source: RNAcentral